This 397-nucleotide ribosomal RNA is filed under the name uncultured bacterium. RNAcentral describes it as "bacterial SSU rRNA". It matches the Rfam family "Bacterial small subunit ribosomal RNA", at positions 361 to 775 of the family's 1533-position model. The record is from RNAcentral.
AUAUUGCACAAUGGGCGCAAGCCUGAUGCAGCGACGCCGCGUGAGUGAAGAAGUAUCUCGGUAUGUAAAGCUCUAUCAGCAGGGAAGAAAAUGACGGUACCUGACUAAGAAGCCCCGGCUAACUACGUGCCAGCAGCCGCGGUAAUACGUAGGGGGCAAGCGUUAUCCGGAUUUACUGGGUGUAAAGGGAGCGUAGACGGCGACGCAAGUCUGGAGUGAAAGCCCGGGGCCCAACCCCGGGACUGCUUUGGAAACUGUGCUGCUGGAGUGCAGGAGAGGUAAGUGGAAUUCCUAGUGUAGCGGUGAAAUGCGUAGAUAUUAGGAGGAACACCAGUGGCGAAGGCGGCUUACUGGACUGUAACUGACGUUGAGGCUCGAAAGCGUGGGGAGCAAACAG